CGGAACACGUACGCAACCUUCCUUUAACUGGAGAAUAGCCCCUCGAAAGAGGGAUUAAUACUCCGUAACAUAUUGAUAAGGCAUCUUAUUAAUAUUAUAGCUCCGGCGGUUAAAGAUGGGCGUGCGCCUGAUUAGAUAGUUGGCAGGGUAACGGCCUACCAAGUCUGCGAUCAGUAACUGGUGUGAGAGCACGACCAGUCACACGGGCACUGAGACACGGGCCCG
This 225-nucleotide ribosomal RNA is filed under the name uncultured bacterium. RNAcentral describes it as "partial 16S ribosomal RNA". It matches the Rfam family "Bacterial small subunit ribosomal RNA", at positions 109 to 334 of the family's 1533-position model. The record is from RNAcentral.